RNAcentral lists this ribosomal RNA (774 nucleotides) under Inara alboguttata. Its description in RNAcentral is "SSU rRNA". It matches the Rfam family "Eukaryotic small subunit ribosomal RNA", at positions 476 to 1163 of the family's 1831-position model. Lineage: Eukaryota; Metazoa; Arthropoda; Insecta; Hemiptera; Reduviidae. The record is from RNAcentral.
AAUAACGAUACGGGACUCUAUUGAGGCCCCGUAAUCGGAAUGAGUACACUUUAAAUCCUUUAACAAGGAUCCAUUGGAGGGCAAGUCUGGUGCCAGCAGCCGCGGUAAUUCCAGCUCCAAUAGCGUAUAUUAAAGUUGUUGCGGUUAAAAAGCUCGUAGUUGGUUCUGCGUGCCGCGCUGUCGGUUCGCCGCCUGUCGGUGUAACUGGCAUGUCGCGGCAUGUCCUGUCGGUGGUGAACGGGAUUCCCGGUGCGGCUAAGGCUUUACAGCCGAAGUUUAGUGCCGUGUGAAUGCCGUUUACCGAUCUCUCCUACUCCGGUGCUCUUAAACGAGUGUCGAGGUAGGCCGACACGUUCACUUUGAACAAAUUAGAGUGCUUAAAGCAGGCUGAAAUAUCUGCCUGAAUAGUGGUGCAUGGAAUGAUAAAAUAGGACCUCGGUUCUAUUUUGUUGGUUUUAGGAAUGUGAGGUAAUGAUCAAUGUGGACUGGCGGGGGCAUUCGUAUUGCGACGUUAGAGGUGAAAUUCUUGGAUCGUCGCAAGACGCACUAAAGCGAAAGCAUUUGCCAAGUAUGUCUUAAUUGAUCAAGAACGAAAGUUAGAGGUUCGAAGGCGAUCAGAUACCGCCCUAGUUCUAACCAUAAACGAUGCCAGCCAGCGAUCCGCCGAUGUUCCAUUAAUGACUCGGCGGGGAGCUUCCACCCGGGAAACCAAAGCUUUUGGGUUCCGGGGGAAGUAUGGUUGCAAAGCUGAAACUUAAAGGAAUUGACGGAAGG